CACAGUGGAAUGAUUCUCUCCCUACAUGUGUUGUGCCCUGUGGUGGAAUUUUAACAAAGCGCAAAGGGACCAUUUUGUCUCCUGGUUACCCUGAGCCUUAUGACAACAAUCUGAAUUGUGUGUGGAAGAUCACAGUACCAGAGGGAGCUGGAAUUCAAGUGCAAGUGGUGAGUUUUGCCACAGAACACAACUGGGAUUCUUUAGACUUUUACGAUGGUGCUGACAACAAUGCUCCAAGGCUUGGAAGUUAUUCAGGGACAACCAUACCUCCAC
Molecule: long non-coding RNA, 273 nt
Organism: Nothoprocta perdicaria
Lineage: Eukaryota; Metazoa; Chordata; Aves; Tinamiformes; Tinamidae
Exons: 4
Source: RefSeq, a predicted model, not a curated record